Molecule: non-coding RNA, 100 nt
Filed under: Photobacterium halotolerans
Lineage: Bacteria; Pseudomonadati; Pseudomonadota; Gammaproteobacteria; Vibrionales; Vibrionaceae
Description: Guanine sequence
Rfam family: Purine riboswitch aptamer
About the family: Riboswitches are metabolite binding domains within certain messenger RNAs that serve as precision sensors for their corresponding targets. Allosteric rearrangement of mRNA structure is mediated by ligand binding, and this results in modulation of gene expression. A class of riboswitches that selectively recognises guanine and becomes saturated at concentrations as low as 5 nM.
Source: Rfam by way of RNAcentral
AUUCACCGAUUGAACCCGCUUCGUAUAACCCCACUGAUAGGGUGUGGGGGUCUCUACCAGAAUCCGUAAAAUUCUGAUUACGAAGAGUGAAGCCGAUUAA